This 211-nucleotide non-coding RNA is filed under the name Limosilactobacillus oris. Its description in RNAcentral is "Lactobacillus oris T-box sequence". It matches the Rfam family "T-box leader". From Rfam's summary of the family: Uncharged tRNA acts as the effector for transcription antitermination of genes in the T-box leader family. Lineage: Bacteria; Bacillati; Bacillota; Bacilli; Lactobacillales; Lactobacillaceae. The record is from RNAcentral.
UAAUAAGCAAUGACCGAAAGAGUAGUGAGUCGUGUAGUGCCUAGCGAGGGCCGGUUGGUGAAAGGGCCUGACUGCUGACUGACGAAUGUAGCUCGGGAGCUGAUUGGCUGAACCUUUAUUAGGCUGAUCCGGUUCAUCACCGUUACCAAAUGAAUGAGGGGAGUCAUGAUUUGACUCAAUUUAGGUGGUAACGCGAGCAAUCGUCCUAUCA